This 217-nucleotide long non-coding RNA is filed under the name Trifolium pratense (red clover). Its description in RNAcentral is "long non-coding RNA (TPRA_LNC001797)". Lineage: Eukaryota; Viridiplantae; Streptophyta; Magnoliopsida; Fabales; Fabaceae. The record is from RNAcentral.
AUGUUAUUGGGAGAAAACGCACUGCAUAUUGUAACGACCCAAAUUUAUUAUUCACUAUUUAAGUGUUUAAUUAUUUGGUGACGUGGUUUUUAAGUAAGAUAAUAACUUUAAGUUAUUUAUCGAGAGCUUUGGUUAACGCGCGAGUUAGUGAGAGUUAGAACGUGUUGGGCCGUGUUAGUGGGCUUGAGGCACAAUGGGCCUUGUCACAUAAGUGGGG